GAUGAACGCUGGCGGCGUGCUUAACACAUGCAAGUCGAACGGAAAGGCCCAAGCUUGCUUGGGUACUCGAGUGGCGAACGGGUGAGUAACACGUGGGUGAUCUGCCCUGCACUUCGGGAUAAGCCUGGGAAACUGGGUCUAAUACCGGAUAGGACGAUGGUUUGGAUGCCAUUGUGGAAAGUUUUUUCGGUGUGGGAUGAGCUCGCGGCCUAUCAGCUUGUUGGUGGGGUAAUGGCCUACCAAGGCGUCGACGGGUAGCCGGCCUGAGAGGGUGUACGGCCACAUUGGAACUGAGAUAAGGCCCAGACUCCUACGGGAGGCAGCAGGGGGGAAUAUUGCACAAUGGGCGCAAGCCUGAUGCAGCGACGCCGCGUGGGGGAUGACGGCCUUCGGGUUGUAAACUCCUUUCGCUAGGGACGAAGCGUUUUUGUGACGGUACCUGGAGAAGAAGCACCGGCUAACUACGUG
Molecule: ribosomal RNA, 468 nt
Filed under: uncultured bacterium
Lineage: Bacteria
Description: partial 16S ribosomal RNA
Rfam family: Bacterial small subunit ribosomal RNA
Source: RNAcentral